This is a non-coding RNA of Pelobates cultripes (western spadefoot toad), 230 nucleotides long. NCBI's taxonomy places the organism in Eukaryota, Metazoa, Chordata, Amphibia, Anura, Pelobatidae. The record is from the annotation of a GenBank genome assembly.
UCCAGAGCACUCACCUAUCCACUAAACAGCAACUUCAAUGUUGAAAUAUUUUAUUAGUUUUUAAAAAAAAACACCUAAUCUAGGCAAAAAUAAUGGGGGUUUAGUUACAUUAUAUGAUCAUACAUCGCAUAAGCCUGCAUAACCUAGAUUAGGUGUUUUAAAAAAAAUAAAAAAAAUAAAAAUCUUUCAACAUUGAAGUUGCUGUUUAGUGGAUAGGUGAGUGCGCUGGA